Molecule: small RNA, 1885 nt
Filed under: Drosophila pseudoobscura pseudoobscura
Lineage: Eukaryota; Metazoa; Arthropoda; Insecta; Diptera; Drosophilidae
Description: GA32822
Source: RNAcentral
CCAACAGGUAAAAAGCGUGAAAUUAUUCACACAGAUACCUCACUCACUCACACUACCAUUUGCAUUCCCAUUCCCGUGAGCACAUGGCGGGGGAAAUACUUUGUGAUCGUGUGCUCGUCGUGGCUUCAGUUACAGAUACAUAGAUACUCUUCGGGCCGCCCCGAUUGUCGCGUGCUAACGUUCCAUGGAGCAGAGAUGUGUGGGGAUGUGGGAUGUGUGUGUUUGGGGUAGAUCUGUUCCGGAAAUGAUACGAGUUUUCCCAAGCAAAUACCAUAGCCAGUGCUCACUGUGGGACGCCACGAAUGAAACAUCCAAAACUUCGAUAAAAACCGAAAAAGACGCAGACGUAAACGCAGUAAAACUAACUUCCCGAUCCAGACCCGAAACCCAAGAGCAUGACAAACGAUAUUCGCGUACCAAUAGAGAUUAAGUAGGUUCUCCAGUACCAGAACCAGUACCAGUACCAUUACCCGAUGACCACUAGAAAAUAAAAUGUCAAAAGAACUCCAGACAUCACUAAUUGGACUGCUGGCCUACAAGUAAUCGAUAAUAAAUUCAGUUGAAUUCGAUUCAUUGGUCAAUGAAUGUUCGGGCCACAAACUUUUACGAUCCAGUGCGCCUGAUCAGCGGUCCUCUAGUUUAUUGCGUGGCGAUCCAUCUUUCCAUCGUGCCAUCGAGGGGAAUGCGCAUUUUCUUGUUCAUGGACUCUUGCUGCUAUGACGCCCAGAGCUCUCCACGAUACCAAAAUUGCAAGUACAAUCAUUCAUCCGUUCUUAGGCAAUUUCGAUAUCGGUACACGGCUAUCAGAUACGUAGAUUGUAUGAGUUUUUAUUUAAGUUUUUCCAUGGAACUGGUGAAUCCGUUCGCAACGGAUCCGGUAUAAUCUUUAUAAACUCGUACGUACAAUACGAGCAUGUAUGUGACCAGAUAAUAAUAUCAUAAACAUAUCGUAAUUGGCAUCGCUUUUUACGUGGAUAAGAUAUCGGACAAUGGCAUCCAUUGAAAAAAGGCUGACGACUUAUCUUUUACAAUUUAUUUCUGAUUUCCCCAAUAGGGCAAGUCGAUAGGGCUACAAGUUUUUUUUUACAAUAUAAUCUGGUAGAUAUGUACACAUGCAUAUCGGUAGAUUAUUAAUUGAACUAGACACAUUCAAAGAAAAUCCUUCAAGGGAACCUUUUUUAACGCCUUAAGUAUUGGAUGUGUAUCCUCAAUCGAUCUCCAUCUCCCUUAUCAAUCAGAGCCCAUUCCAAAACCAAUCCACAACACACGACUUGAUUACUUUUCAAUAAUAUUUUAUUUAAUGUACUUGCAUUAUAUUUAGUUAAUAACUAGAUUUGUAAAUUAUUCUCACUUGAAUGCGUCUAUAAAUUAAUUCUUAUUCGUAUCUCUCGUCGCUCCUCCUCUCAGCAUUACUAGAUAAGAAAAAAAAGGGUAUAACCGGAUAUAAAUAGGGGAAGCCGAGCCGCACACACACGUCGAUCAUUAGGGCGGGGGGACGAAUACGACUCUAUCCAAAAACAAGGUUAGCUUCGGGUAUUCGCUGGUGUGUGUGCUCUUCAAUCACGAUGCUCUAUCGCUAUGUCAGUUUAUCAGUUUAUCAAUCAGUACAGUACAUCAUUUAAUGAGUUUAUCAAAAAUUGUACAAGUGACAAAAUCUACGCUUGAAAUCGAAGAAGAAAUGACAAAAAGAAUGUCUGUAAUUUGAAUUGAAUUUGGAGUGAAAAUUGAAAUUCUGUGGAAAACAGAAUAAUUUUUCCACAGUAGCACAUGGGGAGGGGGGAGAGGCGCUCAACAAAGGGGGGACGAACGAACAGUACGAAUGAAUUAUUUUAAAUUAGCAAAUUAAUGUUAAUUAAUUACACACGAAAGAUCUAAAAACAAACAG